GAUGAACGCUGGCGGCGUGCCUAAUACAUGCAAGUCGAGCGAACGGACGAGAAGCUUGCUUCUCUGAUGUUAGCGGCGGACGGGUGAGUAACACGUGGAUACCCUACCUAUAAGACUGGGAUAACUUCGGGAAACCGGAGCUAAUACCGGAUGAUCUUUUGAACCGCAUGGUUCAAAAGUGAAAGACGGUCUUGCUGUCACUUAUAGAUGGAUCCGCGCUGCAUUAGCUAGUUGGUAGGGUAACGGCUUACCAAGGCAACGAUGCAUAGCCGACCUGAGAGGGUGAUCGGCCACACUGGAACUGAGACACGGUCCAGACUCCUACGGGAGGCAGCAGUAGGGAAUCUUCCGCAAUGGGCGAAAGCCUGACGGAGCAACGCCGCGUGAGUGAUGAAGGUCUUCGGAUCGUAAAACUCUGUUAUUAGGGAAGAACAUAUGUGUAAGUAACUGUGCACAUCGUGACGGUACCUAAUCAGAAAGCCACGGCUAACUACGUG
RNAcentral lists this ribosomal RNA (497 nucleotides) under uncultured bacterium. RNAcentral describes it as "partial 16S ribosomal RNA". It matches the Rfam family "Bacterial small subunit ribosomal RNA", at positions 28 to 507 of the family's 1533-position model. The record is from RNAcentral.